RNAcentral lists this unclassified non-coding RNA (419 nucleotides) under soil metagenome. RNAcentral describes it as "partial contains 5.8S ribosomal RNA, internal transcribed spacer 2, and large subunit ribosomal RNA". The stretch from base 1 to 120 matches the Rfam family "5.8S ribosomal RNA", at positions 35 to 154 of the family's 154-position model. The record is from RNAcentral.
GAUGAAGAACGUAGUGAAAUGCGAUAAGUAAUGUGAAUUGCAGAAUUCAGUGAAUCAUCGAAUCUUUGAACGCAUCUUGCGCUCCUUGGUAUUCCUUGGAGCAUGCCUGUUUGAGUAUCAUGAGCAAAUCUCAAAGUCAAUUCCUUUUGUUAAUUCAAUUUGGUUUUGCUUUGGACUUGGAGGUCUUGCAGAUUUCACAGUCUGCUCCUCUUAAAUGCAUUAGCUGGAUCUCAGUAAUUAUGCUUGGUUCCACUCGGCGUGAUAAGUAUCACUCGCUGAGGACACUGUUAAAAAGGUGGCCAGGAAAAUACUGAUUGAACCGCUUCUAACGGUCUAUUAAGUUAGACAAUUACCCUUAAGUUUGAUCUCAAAUCAGGUAGGACUACCCGCUGAACUUAAGCAUAUCAAUAAGCGGAGGA